This 73-nucleotide transfer RNA is filed under the name Bos taurus (domestic cattle). It matches the Rfam family "tRNA". From Rfam's summary of the family: Transfer RNA (tRNA) molecules are approximately 80 nucleotides in length. Their secondary structure includes four short double-helical elements and three loops (D, anti-codon, and T loops). RNAcentral also lists the same sequence under 3 other names. The record is from Rfam by way of RNAcentral. Lineage: Eukaryota; Metazoa; Chordata; Mammalia; Artiodactyla; Bovidae.
UCCCUGGCAGUCCAGUGGUUUAAGACUUUGCCUUCCAAUGCAGGAGGUGCAGGUUCAAUUCCUGUUCGGGGAG